GCCCCUAUAGCUCAGUGGUAGAGCUCCGGACUUUUAAUCCGUAGGUCGCGGGUUCGAGCCCCGCUGGGGGUA
Molecule: transfer RNA, 72 nt
Filed under: Propionibacteriaceae bacterium
Lineage: Bacteria; Bacillati; Actinomycetota; Actinomycetes; Propionibacteriales; Propionibacteriaceae
Description: tRNA-Lys
Rfam family: tRNA
About the family: Transfer RNA (tRNA) molecules are approximately 80 nucleotides in length.
Source: RNAcentral